UGGCGCAAUGACAGCGCGUUCGACUCCAGAUCGAAAGGUUGGGCGUUCGAUCCGCUC
Molecule: transfer RNA, 57 nt
Filed under: Angiostrongylus costaricensis
Lineage: Eukaryota; Metazoa; Nematoda; Chromadorea; Rhabditida; Metastrongylidae
Rfam family: tRNA
About the family: Transfer RNA (tRNA) molecules are approximately 80 nucleotides in length.
Source: Rfam by way of RNAcentral